This 495-nucleotide ribosomal RNA is filed under the name uncultured bacterium. RNAcentral describes it as "partial 16S ribosomal RNA". It matches the Rfam family "Bacterial small subunit ribosomal RNA", at positions 28 to 523 of the family's 1533-position model. The record is from RNAcentral.
GAUGAACGCUAGCGGGAGGCCUAACACAUGCAAGCCGAGCGGUAUUGUUUCUUCGGAAAUGAGAGAGCGGCGUACGGGUGCGUAACACGUGUGCAACCUGCCUUUAUCUGGGGGAUAGCCUUUCGAAAGGAAGAUUAAUACUCCAUAAUAUAUUGAACGGCAUCGUUUAAUAUUGAAAGCUCCGGCGGAUAGAGAUGGGCACGCGCAAGAUUAGCUAGUUGGUGAGGUAACGGCUCACCAAGGCGAUGAUCUUUGGGGGGCCUGAGAGGGUGAUCCCCCACAUGGGUACGGAGACACGGACCAGGAUCCUGCGGGAGGCAGCAGUGAGGAAUAUUGGUCAAUGGGUGCAAGCCUGAACCAGCCAUCCCGCGUGAAGGACGACUGCCCUAUGGGUUGUAAACUUCUUUUGUAUAGGGAUAAACCUACCCUCGUGAGGGUAGCUGAAGGUACUAUACGAAUAAGCACCGGCUAACUCCGUGCCAGCAGCCGCCGUAA